Molecule: ribosomal RNA, 441 nt
Filed under: uncultured bacterium
Lineage: Bacteria
Description: partial 16S ribosomal RNA
Rfam family: Bacterial small subunit ribosomal RNA
Source: RNAcentral
UAGGGAAUCUUCCACAAUGGACGAAAGUCUGACCGAGCAACGCCGCGUGAGUGAAGAAGGUUUUCGGAUCGUAAAACUCUGUUGGUAGAGAAGAACGUUGGUGAGAGUGGAAAGCUCAUCAAGUGACGGUAACUACCCAGAAAGGGACGGCUAACUACGUGCCAGCAGCCGCGGUAAUACGUAGGUCCCGAGCGUUGUCCGGAUUUAUUGGGCGUAAAGCGAGCGCAGGUGGUUUAUUAAGUCUGGUGUAAAAGGCAGUGGCUCAACCAUUGUAUGCAUUGGAAACUGGUAGACUUGAGUGCAGGAGAGGAGAGUGGAAUUCCAUGUGUAGCGGUGAGAUGCGUAGAUAUAUGGAGGAACACCGGUGGCGAAAGCGGCUCUCUGGCCUGUAACUGACACUGAGGCUCGAAAGCGUGGGGAGCAAACAGGAUUAGAUACCCU